UACGGGGGGGGCAAGCGUUGUUCGGAAUUACUGGGCGUAAAGGGUUCGUAGGUGGCUUGCUAAGUCAGACGUGAAAUCCCUCAGCUUAACUGGGGAACUGCGUCUGAGACUGGUGAGCUUGAGUGCAGGAGAGGAACGCGGAAUUCCAGGUGUAGCGGUGAAAUGCGUAGAUAUCUGGAGGAACACCGGUGGCGAAGGCGGCGUUCUGGACUGCUACUGACGCUGAGGAGCGAAAGCGUGGGGAGCGAACAGG
RNAcentral lists this ribosomal RNA (253 nucleotides) under uncultured bacterium. RNAcentral describes it as "partial 16S ribosomal RNA". It matches the Rfam family "Bacterial small subunit ribosomal RNA", at positions 524 to 776 of the family's 1533-position model. The record is from RNAcentral.